RNA transcript from Cucumis melo (muskmelon), 1244 nucleotides. RefSeq lists it as uncharacterized. The transcript is spliced from 2 exons. NCBI's taxonomy places the organism in Eukaryota, Viridiplantae, Streptophyta, Magnoliopsida, Cucurbitales, Cucurbitaceae. The record is from RefSeq and is a predicted model, not a curated record.
UCCUCACUCGCCGCAGAAGCCUAGAUUGUUGUCGCUUGGUGGAGACAAGCCUUGUUCGAGCUUACCUGCUCCUUCUGUAUUUACUCCGUCAUUUAGUAGUACAACCACGACCUGCAGACUUAGAGAUGUCCAUAAAUAUGACUACAAAUAGAGAUGAAAAAGAAAAACAAUUCAAGGCAAUUUGGGAUGAUACUACAACCGAUGCAUUUAUCCAUGCUUGUGCUGAUGAAUUCAUUUGAAAAGGAAUAGACCAAAUGGACAUUUAAGUAAAGAAGGAUGGAAAAAUGUUAUUAGAAUAUUUAGAGAGAAAACCGGAAGAAAUUAUGAUCAAAGACGAAUGAAAAAUAAAUGGGUUGUAUUAAAAAAAGAUUGGCAGAUAUGGACAGACUUGGUUGGAAACAACACAGGCUUGGGUUGGGAUUCACUAAGACAAACUAUUGAUGCACCAACUGAGUGGUGGGAAGAGAAUUUAAAGGUAUAUCGUUUAUUUACUAGAAAUUAUAAUCAUAAUUAAAUACUUCUUAAAUUAAUAUCUUGUAGGUUAAGCCUGAGGCAGCAAAAUUUAGAGCAAAUGGGUUGCAAAAUGCAGACCAAUUAGAUAUUCUUUUUAAAGAUAUUACAGUUACGGAAGAUGGAGCAUGGGCACCAUGCCAAGGAUUUGUACCUCCAAGUACUGAAGACAAUUCAUCUAGACAUGUAGGAGAUGAUACAUUUGAGGAUAUGAAGCAUAAUGAUACUAAUGAUACGGAAUAUUCAAUACAUACUGCUGAGGAUUAUACUCGGGAAAGGAAAAAAAGAAAAAGAAUAGGAAAAAGGUAAUGUUGCAAAUAAACUUUGUGAUCAUUGGAACGUGUGUGUGGAUCAAUAGAUAAUAGGAGAAGAAAUCUUCCAAGUUGUAGUAUGUUUGAAGUGAUGAAUGUCUUAUAAGACAUACCUGGAAUUAUAAAAGAUGAUGGGCUUUUCAUAAAAGCUGCAGAUAUCUUUACAAAAAGGGAAAAUAGAGAAAUGUUUGUAGCGCUACAAGAGCCUAAGAUUCAAGUUGCAUGGUUGAAGCAAAAGAAAGUUUGACAACCUUAGAUUAUAGAAAAUGUUUGCUUGUAGACAAUUACUAUUUUCGAGUGUUAUUUUUGUUAUGAAUGUUUUGUUAUGUUUUUCAUGACUAUUUUUAAAUUCCUUUAUGUUUAUCAGAUGUCAUCUGAUUAUUACAAUACUAUUAGCAAUGAUAACAAGAUAUUAUAUUGUUG